RNAcentral lists this ribosomal RNA (527 nucleotides) under uncultured bacterium. RNAcentral's name for it is "bacterial SSU rRNA". It matches the Rfam family "Bacterial small subunit ribosomal RNA", at positions 396 to 917 of the family's 1533-position model. The record is from RNAcentral.
UGCGCGUGCGGGAUGAAGGCCUUCGGGUGUAACCGCUGUCGAGGGGGAGCAACUUCCAUAGAGUUAUCUUUAGUGGAUUGAGUGAUCCCUGGAGGAAGGACGGGCUAAGUUCGUGCCAGCAGCCGCGGUAAGACGAACCGUCCAAACGUUAUUCGGUAUCACUGGGCUUAAAGAGUUCGUAGGCGGCUAAACAGGUGAGGUGUGAAAGCCCUCGGCUCAACCGAGGAACUGCGCUUCAAACCGUUUAGCUAGAGGAAGACAGAGGUGAGCGGAACUGAUGGUGGAGCGGUGAAAUGCGUUGAUAUCAUCAGGAACACCGGUGGCGAAAGCGGCUCACUGGGUCUUUUCUGACGCUGAGGAACGAAAGCUAGGGGAGCGAACGGGAUUAGAUACCCCGGUAGUCCUAGCCGUAAACGAUGAGCACUAGACUGUGGGGACCCUCACAUCCUCUCGGUCGUAGCGAAAGUGUUAAGUGCUCCGCCUGGGGGAGUAUGGUCGCAAGGCUGAAACUCAAAGGAAUUGACGGG